Molecule: small nuclear RNA, 99 nt
Organism: Solanum stenotomum
Lineage: Eukaryota; Viridiplantae; Streptophyta; Magnoliopsida; Solanales; Solanaceae
Source: RefSeq, a predicted model, not a curated record
GUCCCUUUUGGGGCAUCUGAUAAAACUAGAACGAUACAAAAAAGAUUAACAUGACCCUGUACAAGAAUGACACGCAAAUUCAACAAUUCUCAUGUUUCU